This 492-nucleotide ribosomal RNA is filed under the name uncultured bacterium. RNAcentral's name for it is "partial 16S ribosomal RNA". It matches the Rfam family "Bacterial small subunit ribosomal RNA", at positions 29 to 507 of the family's 1533-position model. The record is from RNAcentral.
AGUGAACGCUGGCGGUAGGCCUAACACAUGCAAGUCGAACGGCAGCACAGUAAGAGCUUGCUCUUACGGGUGGCGAGUGGCGGACGGGUGCUGAAUACAUCGGAAUCUACUUUUUCGUGGGGGAUAACGUAGGGAAACUUACGCUAAUACCGCAUACGACCUACGGGUGAAAGCAGGGGAUCUUCGGACCUUGCGCGAUUGAAUGAGCCGAUGUCGGAUUAGCUAGUUGGCGGGGUAAAGGCCCACCAAGGCGACGAUCCGUAGCUGGUCUGAGAGGAUGAUCAGCCACACUGGAACUGAGACACGGUCCAGACUCCUACGGGAGGCAGCAGUGGGGAAUAUUGGACAAUGGGCGCAAGCCUGAUCCAGCCAUACCGCGUGGGUGAAGAAGGCCUUCGGGUUGUAAAGCCCUUUUGUUGGGAAAGAAAAGCAGCAGGUUAAUACCCCGCUGUUCUGACGGUACCCAAAGAAUAAGCACCGGCUAACUUCGUG